GGGGAAUAUUGCACAAUGGGGGAAACCCUGAUGCAGCCAUGCCGCGUGUGUGAAGAAGGCCUUCGGGUUGUAAAGCACUUUCAGUGGGGAGGAAGGGGCGAUGUCUAAUACGCAUUGUCAUUGACGUUACCCACAGAAGAAGCACCGGCUAACUCCGUGCCAGCAGCCGCGGUAAUACGGAGGGUGCAAGCGUUAAUCGGAAUAACUGGGCGUAAAGCGCACGCAGGCGGUUGGACAAGUCAGAUGUGAAAUCCCCGGGCUCAACCUGGGAACUGCAUUUGAAACUGUCCGACUAGAGUCUUGUAGAGGGGGGUAGAAUUCCAGGUGUAGCGGUGAAAUGCGUAGAGAUCUGGAGGAAUACCGGUGGCGAAGGCGGCCCCCUGGACAAAGACUGACGCUCAGGUGCGAAAGCGUGGGGAGCAAAC
This 425-nucleotide ribosomal RNA is filed under the name uncultured bacterium. Its description in RNAcentral is "bacterial SSU rRNA". It matches the Rfam family "Bacterial small subunit ribosomal RNA", at positions 356 to 773 of the family's 1533-position model. The record is from RNAcentral.